This 445-nucleotide ribosomal RNA is filed under the name uncultured bacterium. RNAcentral's name for it is "bacterial SSU rRNA". It matches the Rfam family "Bacterial small subunit ribosomal RNA", at positions 338 to 795 of the family's 1533-position model. The record is from RNAcentral.
CCUANGGGUGGCUGCAGUCGAGAAUCUUCCACAAUGGACGAAAGUCUGAUGGAGCGACGCCGCGUGAUUGAUGAAGUCCCUCUGGGACGUAAAGAUCUUUUAUGAGGGAAGAAGUUUAUUGACUGUACCUCAUGAAUAAGAGGCUCCUAAUCUCGUGCCAGCAGGAGCGGUAAUACGAGAGCCUCGAGCGUUAUCCGGAAUUAUUGGGCGUAAAGGGUGCGCAGGUUGUUCUGUUAGUCUUUUGUUAAAACCCCGAGCUUAACUUGGGAUCCGCGAAAGAAACGGCAGAACUUGAAAGUGCGAGAGGUAUACGGAACUCUAGGUGUAGGGGUGAAAUCCGUUGAUAUCUAGGGGAACACCAAAUGCGAAAGCAGUAUACUGGCGCAUAUUUGACACUGAAGCACGAAAGCGUGGGUAGCGAAUGGGAUUAGAUACCCCANUANUC